Molecule: long non-coding RNA, 233 nt
Filed under: Elaeis guineensis (African oil palm)
Lineage: Eukaryota; Viridiplantae; Streptophyta; Magnoliopsida; Arecales; Arecaceae
Description: long non-coding RNA (EGUI_LNC062536)
Source: RNAcentral
UGGUGUAGAGACAUUGAGAUAAAGGUACAUAUGGUUGUUAGAGAAUAACUUGGACUGAGUAUGACCAACAUGAGAACCACAUGGAUGUCUACUCACUCUCAGUGGUUUUCUCGAUGCUGUAGUGGUGUGAGUGGUCCUUUGACCUGCGAUGUCAUUGGCUAUUCAUAGAGAGGCUAUUGGGUUUGACUGCAUAUUUUCUUGAUCCCUAGCCAUUCGAGUCUUUGCUGUGUAUG